Molecule: ribosomal RNA, 253 nt
Filed under: uncultured bacterium
Lineage: Bacteria
Description: partial 16S ribosomal RNA
Rfam family: Bacterial small subunit ribosomal RNA
Source: RNAcentral
UACGUAGGGUGCGAGCGUUAAUCGGAAUUACUGGGCGUAAAGCGUGCGCAGGCGGCUUUGUAAGCCUGAUGUGAAAUCCCCGGGCUUAACCUGGGAAUGGCAUUUGGGACUGCAAGGCUGGAGUAUGGCAGAGGAGACUGGAAUUCCUGGUGUAGCAGUGAAAUGCGUAGAUAUCAGGAGGAAUACCGAUGGCGAAGGCAGGUCUCUGGGCUGACACUGACGCUCAUGCACGAAAGCGUGGGGAGCAAACAGG